UGUGGAUUGAACAAUGAAAAAUUUGAUCAAAUUUGGAGCUGAAUCUGGUUUAUCGGAGUUUAUUCUAUCUUUUUAUAUAAAUAUAAAAAUUUAUAAAGUACAAAAAUUUGUUCAAAAUUUUAAGAACAUUAUUAGCUGAUGAGUUAGUCUUAUUGACUUCUCAAAUUUGAAGAUAUGGAGGUCAAAAUAGAGUUCAUCUC
Molecule: long non-coding RNA, 200 nt
Filed under: Elaeis guineensis (African oil palm)
Lineage: Eukaryota; Viridiplantae; Streptophyta; Magnoliopsida; Arecales; Arecaceae
Description: long non-coding RNA (EGUI_LNC016430)
Source: RNAcentral